Long non-coding RNA from Cucurbita moschata (crookneck pumpkin), 946 nucleotides. RefSeq lists it as uncharacterized. The transcript is spliced from 4 exons. The record is from RefSeq and is a predicted model, not a curated record. NCBI's taxonomy places the organism in Eukaryota, Viridiplantae, Streptophyta, Magnoliopsida, Cucurbitales, Cucurbitaceae.
GCAUCAGGGGAUCGCGAUCGUCGGCUUUUCCUAAUUGGAUCUUGGAGAACAGCAUGCUCUCGAUUCGAGUCCAGAAGAACCAAAUCAUGAAGCAGAAUGGACUAGUUUCAUACCAUGGGAUCUGCAGCUAAUGUAGCACGUUUCAGAAUGUUUUCGACAAGAUGUAGAAGGGAUCUUGUAUCGACAUCUCGAUCAUCAGGAUCAUGGGUGGCUGUUAUUUGCUUCAUCAUCGCAUUGUCGUCGGAAAUGGCGAACAUGAACUUGUUACCCUUGGCCAAUUGAUGUCUAGAGGCUAGUGAGAACUUAUUACUGCCCGCCAUUGUUGUACAAUGCAAAGGUAGAGAAGAAGAAGCUUAUGGAAUGUCUGCAAGAUAGGUCGCCAAAUUUAUAGGCUUGAGAAAGAGUAAAGGAUCAGAAUAUUUGUCUGCGGAUCACUUGCUCUGUUUGGUUUAUCACAAAUGAAGAAACGAGGCUGUUGCCUCGUGGCCAACUCUCAGGGGCUUUAGUUUGACGUAGAGCUUUUUGGUUCUUCAGUUAGGCGGCCACUUCGCGAUAUUAUGCCAAUUCCAGUUUUGAACUACCUUCAAAUCGUUAUUUUCAAUCAAGUUGGUCGUCGUCACACCACUCGCUGGUGCUCGCGGUCAUAAAGGGACGUUAAACGUAAUUAGUUACUCAAAGGAAAAAAAAGGAUAUCGGGUGUCAUUCACUUCAAAUAAGCCCGUGUAUCAUCGUACAUUAGUGUCAUAUGAUACUAAUUUUGGUGGUAGCUUGUUGAUUGAAUGCAACUCUUUACCGUUGCUUUUCUUGACUUGCAAAUAUAGGUGAGAAUUUUGGUACAUUUUUAUUGCAUAAACCUUCGAACAGCAAAGUUUCUUCCUUUCUUUACUUGCAAAUGUUGCUCAGAAUGUUCAUAUUUUAUGUUAAAUUAGCUAUCUGUUGAAGGGGA